Molecule: unclassified non-coding RNA, 327 nt
Filed under: soil metagenome
Description: partial contains 5.8S ribosomal RNA, internal transcribed spacer 2, and large subunit ribosomal RNA
Rfam family: 5.8S ribosomal RNA (bases 1-120)
Source: RNAcentral
GAUGAAGAACGUAGCGAAAUGCGAUAAGUAAUGUGAAUUGCAGAAUUCAGUGAAUCAUCGAAUCUUUGAACGCAAAUUGCGCCCCUUGGUAUUCCGGGGGGCAUGCCUGUUCGAGCGUCAUUAUAACCCCUCAAGCUCAGCUUGGUGUUGGGGCCUGCCGACUGGCAGCCCUUAAAAUCAGUGGCGGCGCCAUCUGGCUCUAAGCGUAGUAAUUUCUCUCGCUAUAGAGUCCCGGUGGAUGCUUGCCAGCAACCCCCAACUUUCUAUGGUUGACCUCGGAUCAGGUAGGGAUACCCGCUGAACUUAAGCAUAUCAAUAAGCGGAGGA